RNAcentral lists this ribosomal RNA (241 nucleotides) under uncultured bacterium. RNAcentral describes it as "partial 16S ribosomal RNA". It matches the Rfam family "Bacterial small subunit ribosomal RNA", at positions 15 to 252 of the family's 1533-position model. The record is from RNAcentral.
GAUCAGGCUCAGGACGAACGCUGGCGGCGCGCCUAACACAUGCAAGUCGAACGAGAGAGAAGGAGCUUGCUUCUUCGAUCGAGUGGCGAACGGGUGAGUAACGCGUGAGGAACCUGCCUCAAAGAGGGGGACAACAGUUGGAAACGACUGCUAAUACCGCAUAAGCCCACGGGUCGGCAUCGACCUGAGGGAAAAGGAGCAAUCCGCUUUGAGAUGGCCUCGCGUCCGAUUAGCUAGUUGG